UGCGGUGCAUUAGCUAGUUGGUAAGGUAACGGCUUACCAAGGCAAUGAUGCAUAGCCGAGUUGAGAGACUGAUCGGCCACAUUGGGACUGAGACACGGCCCAAACUCCUACGGGAGGCAGCAGUAGGGAAUCUUCCACAAUGGACGCAAGUCUGAUGGAGCAACGCCGCGUGAGUGAAGAAGGGUUUCGGCUCGUAAAGCUCUGUUGGUAGUGAAGAAAGAUAGAGGUAGUAACUGGCCUUUAUUUGACGGUAAUUACCUAGAAAGUCACGGCUAACUACGUGCCAGCAGCCGCGGUAAUACGUAGGUGGCAAGCGUUGUCCGGAUUUAUUGGGCGUAAAGCGAGUGCAGGCGGUUCAAUAAGUCUGAUGUGAAAGCCUUCGGCUCAACCGGAGAAUUGCAUCAGAAACUGUUGAACUUGAGUGCAGAAGAGGAGAGUGGAACUCCAUGUGUAGCGGUGGAAUGCGUAGAUAUAUGGAAGAACACCAGUGGCGAAGGCGGCUCUCUGGUCUGCAACUGACGCUGAGGCUCGAAAGCAUGGGUAGCGAACAGGAUUAGAUACCCUGGUAGUCCAUGCCGU
This 579-nucleotide ribosomal RNA is filed under the name uncultured bacterium. Its description in RNAcentral is "bacterial SSU rRNA". It matches the Rfam family "Bacterial small subunit ribosomal RNA", at positions 232 to 803 of the family's 1533-position model. The record is from RNAcentral.